GUAAAAGGGUAUCCUUUUCUUUGCUUUCUUUUCUGUCUUUCUAUCAAUCUUUUUCUAGAACUUGAUUGAAUUUGAAGAUUUUGAAGAAUAUGGCUCUUGAAGCUCUGAAUUCUCCUACCACGGCUACACCUUUCAGCAACAAAUAUGAGGACAUCGACAACAAUUAUCUCGAGACAUGGAAGAAAGGCAAACGUACAAAGCGACCACGUACCGAUUCUCCACCGACUGAAGAAGAGUACCUUGCUCUCUGUCUCAUCAUGCUAGCUCGUGGAUCCGCCAACGACAGCACAAAC
RNAcentral lists this long non-coding RNA (293 nucleotides) under Durio zibethinus. Its description in RNAcentral is "long non-coding RNA (DZIB_LNC000239)". Lineage: Eukaryota; Viridiplantae; Streptophyta; Magnoliopsida; Malvales; Malvaceae. The record is from RNAcentral.